GCGCUUACUUCAGCAGCACAUAUACUAAAAUGGGAACAAUACAGAGAAGAUUAGCGCUGCGCCUGCACAAGCGUGAUACCAAAGUUUGUGAAGUGUUCCACAUUUAA
This is a small nuclear RNA of Bombina bombina (fire-bellied toad), 107 nucleotides long. NCBI's taxonomy places the organism in Eukaryota, Metazoa, Chordata, Amphibia, Anura, Bombinatoridae. The record is from RefSeq and is a predicted model, not a curated record.